This 341-nucleotide unclassified non-coding RNA is filed under the name soil metagenome. RNAcentral's name for it is "partial contains 5.8S ribosomal RNA, internal transcribed spacer 2, and large subunit ribosomal RNA". The stretch from base 5 to 121 matches the Rfam family "5.8S ribosomal RNA", at positions 38 to 154 of the family's 154-position model. The record is from RNAcentral.
GAUGGAAGAACGCAGCGAAAUGCGAUAAGUAAUGUGAAUUGCAGAAUUCAGUGAAUCAUCGAAUCUUUGAACGCACAUUGCGCCCAUUAGUAUUCUAGUGGGCAUGCCUGUUCGAGCGUCAUUUCAACCCUUAAGCCCUGUUGCUUAGUGUUGGGAGCCUACGGUCAAGCGUAGCUCCCCAAAGUUAGUGGCAGAGUCAGUUCAAACUCUAGGCGUAGUAAAUCUUUAUCUCGUCUUUGCAGUAGGGCUGCCCCUCGCCGUAAAACCCCCAAUUUUAUCAAGGUUGACCUCGGAUCAGGUAGGAAUACCCGCUGAACUUAAGCAUAUCAAUAAGCGGAGGA